UACGGAGGGUGCAAGCGUUAUCCGGAUUUACUGGGUUUAAAGGGUGUGUAGGCGGGCUUUUAAGUCAGUGGUGAAAUCUCCGGGCUCAACCCGGAAACUGCCAUUGAUACUAUUAGUCUUGAAUUUUGUUGAGGUAGGCGGAAUAAGUCAUGUAGCGGUGAAAUGCUUAGAUAUGACUUAGAACACCAAUUGCGAAGGCAGCUUGCUAAACAAAUAUUGACGCUGAGGCACGAAAGCGUGGGGAGCAAACAGG
RNAcentral lists this ribosomal RNA (253 nucleotides) under uncultured bacterium. Its description in RNAcentral is "partial 16S ribosomal RNA". It matches the Rfam family "Bacterial small subunit ribosomal RNA", at positions 524 to 776 of the family's 1533-position model. The record is from RNAcentral.